RNAcentral lists this ribosomal RNA (474 nucleotides) under uncultured prokaryote. RNAcentral describes it as "bacterial SSU rRNA". It matches the Rfam family "Bacterial small subunit ribosomal RNA", at positions 421 to 905 of the family's 1533-position model. The record is from RNAcentral.
ACAUGUAAGAGGCUUGACGUUCGAUUAGCGCAACUAACGCAUUUUCCUAUCCGCCAGGGCCAGUCCGGCCACAUGAUAACAACCGAAGGGAUUGGUCGGGACCAAACGUGUUUCGAAUGUACUGGGCGUAAAGGGCGCGUAGGCGGCGUGACAAGUCAGUUGUGAAAUCUCCGAGCUUAACUCGGAACGGUCAACUGAUACUGUUGUGCUAGAGUACAGAAGGGGCAAUCGGAAUUCUUGGUGUAGCGGUGAAAUGCGUAGAUAUCAAGAGGAACACCUGAGGUGAAGACGGGUUGCUGGGCUGAUACUGACGCUGAGGCGCGAAAGCUAGGGUAGCAAACGGGAUUAGAUACCCCGGUAGUCCUAGCCCUAAACGAUGAAUACUUGGUGUCUGGAAUAUUAUUUUUCCGGGUGCCGUCGCUAACGUUUUAAGUAUUCCGCCUGGGGAGUACGCACGCAAGUGUGAAACUCAAA